Molecule: long non-coding RNA, 1380 nt
Organism: Anopheles moucheti
Lineage: Eukaryota; Metazoa; Arthropoda; Insecta; Diptera; Culicidae
Exons: 5
Source: RefSeq, a predicted model, not a curated record
CGUACCCGGUUAAACUCCACUAGCAGUUUCGGUAUAUAGUACCGCAUCCGGAGUUGAGCCACCACUGUUCUGUGGCUCUGAUGACAAAAGCGCUCGUGGAAGUCUCUGAUGAUCAGAUCUGUGACGGGGUGUCUUCUUGGCAAAAGCUUGUAGAGCACACUGUUCCGGUUAAUCGCCUGUUUCCAAGGAUGUUUCUUCCGCGCAUCGCUGCGCAGGCAUUUAAUAUCGGCAGCAAACCCUUCCGACUGCACCAACGUGUAGAGUGUCCGUUCCGCAGCUAGCAGUUCAUCCUGUGUCAGUGGCCCUGUUACCUUCUUCACUUGCCUAAUCCGUCGCCGAGUGUUCCCGAUAUACCGAAGAACAUAACCGACCGCUCUCAAUAGUUUCUUCCAGCGUGAGAAACGAGUGAAGUCGACUACAACAUCAACCACGAUUCCCACAGGAACCCUGGCCCUCGGAACCAUCUGCUGGAUGAGGUUAAGUCCGGAACUCCCUGCCACUUCGUCCCGUCAUCCGCUACGUUGACCUUAGUGGAAAGCCACCGCCACUCGUUAAUCUCUGUCGUCUCGACCAGCUCACUCACCCGAAAGGCGACAAACGUGCUGUAUCGCCUAUGGUCCGAUCGUAUCCAGCUCACAACGUUCCGCGAGUCCGUCCAGAACACCCUCCUGGUAACCUUCAACCGAUGCGUCUUGAUGAUGUGCUCCGCGAAUCGUGCUCCUAUCACCGCCGCUUGAAGCUCCAACCUUGGUAUGGAUAAAAGUUUCAGCGGUGCGACUCGUGUUUUGGACCCAAUUAAAGCACACUCUACUAUCCCGUCUUCCUCGAAACGCAGACACACAUAACGUUUGAGAGCCAUUUCGCGAUUGCAUGGUAGGCGCACGUCGUCAUACUUCCACAAUAGGGACGUUUGAUACCGGUCACCUAUCAAUUUAGUUCCGGUAUUCAGCAUCUCAACCGCGCGUUCUUCUUCCUUCGGUAUCAGUUUGCGGGAAGCGGUGACUCCAAUGGAAUCCAGAGAGAAGUACGCUUUUAAUGCCAUGUCCAGCUUCUGACUAUUUUCCUCGUUACAGGUACACAAAUGAAAAUUGUUAUAUGCGGUGCUACUUACGGGACCGGAUGCGCUGCACGGACCGAACAUCGUCCACCCGAGCCUUGUCUUUGCGGCGAUUGGUUCGUUGAAACCACCUUCAACACAGCGUAGCGGUUUCCCCAGGUACGAAUGCAGCUUCACCAUCUUCUCGAUCGACAGAGUCUGUGCUGGCAACGAGAGAUCUCGCAAGGUGUGUACCUGUCGUAGGUCGUAUACCACCGCUCCUUGAUGCCUCCCCGAGAUCCGCAGCCCAACCUCUAACGAAUCGGCCUCGUUCCGCACAGUGU